UGCUGAUUUGUAAUAGAAGUUUACAAUGU
RNAcentral lists this non-coding RNA (29 nucleotides) under Mus musculus (house mouse). The record is from RNAcentral. Lineage: Eukaryota; Metazoa; Chordata; Mammalia; Rodentia; Muridae.